UUCCAAUGGGUAUCUGACCAAACAACCUCGUAUUAGAAAAAUUGAGACUGAGGAGCUCGGUCAGCCGCUCAAACCCAAAACUAGGAAGACUGGUCAGGCCAAAGUCAUUACCAGAGAGGCUGAGAUUUGUGAGAGAGGUGAGGUUGAAUAGUGCUAGGCUGAGACCACUGGUGCUCCGCAGGUUACGAUUACUGAGGUCCAAAGUGAUCACCUGACCUGGCCCUAUCACACCCGAUGCCCUCCCAGUGGCAACAGUCUGAGCCAUGUUGCCAUGAUGAAAGGUUGGGGUUGUGGAAGGAGUGCUUCAGCUGGAGUAGAGAUGAAGCCUGAUUAGGGAGGCACUGGACUGUGGUUCCAUUGGUGCCAUUGGCAGCAAUGUUGGUGGAGCAGUAGCAUGCAAGGAGUAGCAGGGUGUAGUGAAGCCGUGGGCGCCUGGAGCUCAUCUUUCUACUGCUUAUCUGAUUAUAACUUCAAGCUGGUGCUUGGGGCAAUAUAUAAUAGUACAGGGUAGAUGUAGAAAUCCCAAUAGUACAUUUCGCUCGUUUAUGUUGUGCAGUGUCAUUAUGUGGCCAAUGUUAUUUCCUGUGCAACACCGCAACGCCUUUGAUGUGCACACGACUGGUUGCUCGCUAAUUCAAAGUUCAAAGAACAAAUUGCUACCUCUCAUGAGACAAGGUCCAGUUCCCCGUAGGCCCGUUGCAAGCUACGGUACUUAAUGUAGUCAGUGUACUGCAGGUGCUGUAGCGUGUCUCCUGUGGCAAGAAUUUACAACAGGAUAGCUACAUAUUGCUUAUUUCAUAAGGAAGCUCUCCUCAAGAGCUGGAGUUGAUUAUAUUACCUGAAAUAUAGUCUGAGUUUUACGGGGUAUAUAAGUUGAGCCAACAUUAGAAAAGGUUACUGAUGUUUCUGUUUUACUUCAGAGAAAUACCUUGGGAAUGUACAUGUUCUGAAAAAUGGCAGGUUUACUCUUUGUUCUAUAAGAUAAGGGCUGGAGUUGAUUAGAUUACUGGAUAUGGAGUCUGUGUUUUAGGGGAUAUAAGUUGACCCAGCCAACAUUAGGAAAUACUACACAUAUUAAUUAUAGCUGAUUUGGAGACUGAAGGAAGAAGAAUAUUGAGAUUUCUAUUUUAGCCUUGUCAGUAUGUCACAGGUGAUGCUCUCCCACUGGCAGCAGUCUCUUCCAUCUUGUCAAGACGCCAGAUUCGCAUCGACGUCGAUGAAUGAGUGCUUUAGCCGGAGCAGGGAAGAAGCCUGAUCUUGGAGGCAAGAAACUGUGGUGUUAUGCUUGGCUGCAUACUAGCAGUAGCACUAGCAGGAGUAGUAGUCGACGGAGUAGGAGCAUACUAGCAGUAGCAGGAUUAGUAGGAGGGGUUGCUGUUUAGUUGAGUAAUUUUUCUACUGUCUUGCUAGUUGCUGCUUCCUCGGUGGUGCACAAGGCUAUACAUGGCAGUUUAUGUUUUUUUUUGCGGGUGAAUGGCAGUUUAUAUUUAACUGUAUUGUACAGAUUUUCCUUGAAAAAUGUAUUGUACAGAUUUUCCAUUUACACUUCUAAGGCUGCGAGCACAACAGAUCACCGUAGAUUGUGGACUAUAGUGACGUUCAUGUUGUUGUCCUAGACUAAUUCAGCAUAUCGAGUGUUGGUUGUUGUGCGAUCUUUGACUGCCUCAGUGGAAUUUUUUUUUUGAGAACAAGCGGAAUUUCUUUUGUGGUUGUGGUUGGUUUACAUCCUUGUGCACCACGGACUCAGGUCCUCAAACAUUGCUGUUCUAAUUGUUUGGGUAGUUCUUUCAAGGAAAACAUAAAAGAUUCUAAGGUAACAAGCACCCGUGUAUAAAUACAGGCUUUACAACUUCAGGCCAGUGCUCAGGGCAAUAUAUAAUACAGGGUAGAACCAUACAAGUAGAAAUUUGGGCAGUGCAUUUUCGUUCCUAGCAGUAGAAGUUUAUGUUAAAUGCCACUGUUGUUAGUCCAAGAUGAAAGCAUGUGUAGAGCCAUCAUGUGGCCAGUGUUAUUUCCUGUGCAAUACGGCAGUGCCUUUGAUGUGCACACGACUGGUUGCUGACUAAUUGAAAGGUUACGGAACGGCUUGUUACCUUUCAUGAGUCAAGGUCUCUACUUGCAUGUAGGCCCGUUGCAAGCUACUGUAGUUAAUGUUGUCACUGUACUGUAGUGUUGCAGCGUGUCUUCACCGGCAAGAAUCUACAGCAGGAGAGCUACAUUAUUAUUAAUUUGAUUAGGAAUCUCUCCUCUAGAGCUGGAGUUAAUUAGAUUACUAGAAAGAGAGUCUGUGUGAGUUUCAGGGGUAUAUAAGUUGAGCCAACAUAAGAAAAGGCUACACAUACUAUUAGUUAUAGCUGAUUUGAAGACUAAAUGGAGAAUUUAAUCUUUCUGUUUUACUCAGAGAAAUACCUUGGGAACAUACAUGUUCUGAAAAUUUGCAGGUUACUGUUUGCUUGUAAAAUAAGAGCUGGAGUUGAUUAGAUUACUGGAUAUGGAGCCUGAGUUUUAUGGGAUAUUAGUUCAGACAACGAACAUUGGGGAGGAUGGUGGCCGGCGAAGCUGCUGCUCGUGCUGAAGGAGGCCACGCAGUAGCAGGAGUAGGAGGGCGUGGAGGCAUGCCAGUUUGUAUCUGGAAACUGUAUUGUACAGAAUUUCCAUCACCACAGAAGAAGGUGAUGGAGAUUGUAUAUAGUAUUUACUUCUAUACAAUCACUUCAGAAGAAGGUGAUGGAGUACAUUUCUAAGGCUGCGAGUUCAAACGACCGAUUCCGCAAAUCAGGUAUUGUCUCUGGCCUGUGUUUGACUGCCUUUUCGGUGGGAUUUCUUUUGAAGUACACUCGGCAGCGGCUGUGCCCAACCUCUGAAGCAUCGGUUUGGUUUACAUCCCUGUGCACAGCAAACAUCGCUGUUCCAAACAAAUUAUUCUACAGAUUUUCCUUCACCGCAGAAGGAGGCCAUGGACAAUAAUAUUUACACUUCUAAUGGCUGUGAGAGCAACCGAUCACCGACGUUCUGUCUUGCUGUCCUAGACCGAUUCGGCAUAUCAAUUUUUGGUUCCUUUUUUUGAGUAACAUCAAUUUUUGGUUCCUGUGCAGUGUUUAACGGCAUAUUCAGUGGAAUUUCUUUUGUGGUCGUGGUAGAUACAUUCGGCAGUGGCCAUGCGCUCUCAAGCCAUUGGUUUCGUUUACAUCCUUGUGGAAAAAAUGAAAAAAAAAUAUUUUGGGUAAUUAUUUUGUUGUUAUAUUUUUUGGGGGUAAUUUUUCAAGGUAAAACAUAAAGGUUCGAGAUAACAAGCACCCGUAUAUAAAUUCUUGGUCAUGGUGAAAAGAUCUCAAAUAAUCUAGCUAAAAUUCCAGUAACUAUUCACAUAUUGUGCCUAUUGCCCCGAUGAAAUCGAUACUCCCCCCGGUUCCAAAAUAAGCAUCGCUAAUUUAAUAUAAAAUCAGCACAAAGUUGUACUAAAUCAACAACCCUUGUUUUGGGACGGAGGAGUAGCAUUUAGCGUUCAAAAUUAGGGAUACUCGUGACUCACCUUCGACGAGGAAGGCCGCCAUCAGGUACUGCUACGAACACGAGAAAGUCGUUUAGGAUUUUGGGAAUGUUCAGAACCUUCCCAAACCGGGUUCUCUUGUUCUUUUUUCUGCUUUCCUCCUUUUCUUUUUUCAUUUUUUUUUCUUUUUUGUUUCCAAAUUCAUGAACAUUUUCUGAAAUCUGAGAACAUUUUUUCAAAUUUGUGAACAUUAUUUGAAAUUCAAAAUUUAUUCAUCAAAUUCAAAAAACGUCCAUCAUAUUGAAAAAUGUUCAUCAAAUUCAAAAAAUGAUCAUUAAAUUUAAAUUUUGUACAUCAAAAUACAUAAAAUAAUAAUUGAAAAUUCAAAAAUGUUCAUAAAAAUACAAAAAAUGUCACAAAAAUUCAAAAAAUGUUCAUUUUUAGAAUUUAUGAACAUUUUCCUGAAUUCAUGAACAUUUUUUAAAUUCUUGAACAGGUUUUUGCAUUAGUAAACAUUUUUUCGAAAUUCUAAUUUGCUUUUUGAAAUCCCAAACUUUUUUAAAGAAGCAAAAAACAAAAACAGAAAAAAAAAGAUACGAAAAAAAUAAGGGAGACCGGCCCCGCAUCUGGGUCGGCCCAAGGUCACACAUGGGGGAGCGAGAGGGUGCGCGCUAAAUCUCAAAAAAAAGAGGGUGCGCGUUGCCCACUUUCCCACACGCUCGUCCGGCCGCAACGCCGGCGUCCGCAGGCGGCUGUAGUUCAUGCACCAAGUCGGAGCAUCAUCACUCGCGUGAGAUAUGAGACACAGGAAACGCGGCAAGCCGGAGCAGGGAUGCCGCCCAAGUUGCUACCUGCUACGGACUUGGUCAGUUUUCACUCUCGUCACUGGGGACGCCAUGGGGUUCGUCCUCGUGCUCCAGGUGUUCGAUGGAAUGUGCCUGGGCGACAAAAUGCACACAUCUCUCAUUUAUUUUUCCCAAAAAAUGGCGCGUGAAAUACAGGAUUGACACUAGGAACUGUAAGUCUAAUUGGACUCGUUUACUACCUUUUCAGGUGUCCUGGGUUGACCAAACUCUGGCCGCAAAAGAGCUGCUGGGGAUCAAGGUCUACCACAGACUCUGCCUUGAUUAACCUUAAGAAGCAGGUUCGUACAAGCUCAUACUAUGAUUUUGUUUCCUUACUUUACAAUUCAUCAUAUAUGAAAAGGAGAAAAGGUGCAUCAGUCUUAUACAAGUAGGUUCGUACAAACUCAUAUCAAUACAUAUGAUAAACAAACACACUGACACAGCCCAGGCCACACAUCAUUUACUGGUAGAACGGAAACGAUUGCAGUUCCAGCGUUUGGCCUGGAAAGCCACUGACAAAACAACAGCCACCGCAAAGCCAACUCCGAAACCGGAUCCCACAAACACAAACAACACUAUGGUUCCAACACUGUCUUGCGAAGACACCGAUGAGUUGAGGGUUCCGGUACCUGAACUGUUGCACUGUUUGGACAGUGGCUUCCCACACAGUCCUUCAUUGCCUUCGAAUGAGCUGUUGGUGAACAGUGAGAACUGCUGCCCUUCUGGUAUCAUUCCGGUCAAAUUGUUGUAGGAGAGAUUCAACACGGCCAGAUAUGUUAGGCUGGUUUGAUCCCUUGGGAUCUCCCCCGAGAGCUUGUUCCGAGAGAGGUCCAGUGACUCAAGCUGUGCCAAGUCACCAAGCUUUGAUAGGAUUCUUCCAGUGAAGGCAUUAUGUGACAUGUUCAGGCCAUGUAGAGCAAUAAGAUUCCCAAUUGAGUCUGGCAUGGGACCAUCAAAUGUGUUGUUUGAGAAAUCAAGCAUCUUGAAAGUGGUCAGGAUCUUGGUAAAUGUAAGAUCAAUCCCUUUGAAUGUGAGUCUCUCUUGGUAGUACUCCCCGGGAAAUCUUGAGUCAAAGGCCAGAGCAUUACCCUUCUCACUAGAGUUUUCUGUCAUUCUUUGUAGCAUGUCAAACCAUUUUGAACUCAAGUUCCCAGAAAAGUUAUUUGAGGCCAAAUCAAUAAUCUGCAAAGCCGAGAAGCCCUUACUACUCGCAUCACUUUCACCAGGGCCUCCUAUUGAACCAUAUAAUUGAUUUGAUCUCAAGAUGAGAAUUCGUAGAUUAGACAUCUCACCCAACCAAGAUGGAAAAGUAUCAAGAAUUUGAUUGCUACCAAUGUCAAGAACCUCUAAGUUUCUGCAGUUACAUAAUGAUCUUGGUAUCUUCCCUUCAAUUUGGUUGUUGUUCAAAUCAAUUGUCUGAAGCAUACAUCCUUCUCCAAUAUUUUCAGGUAGUAUCCCAUGCAAAUGAUUAUCUCUCAAUUUCAACAUACCUAAGCUGCUACCUUCUAUUAGAUUCUGUAGUAGAGGAACAGAGUCUGCUAAAGCAAUAGACCAAGUUGAUCCACCGUUUACGAUUUGCACAUUAUCAAGAUAGAGAUCCCUUAGAUUGCAAAAUUUGGAUACGAAUGUCUGAAAACUUGGAUCUCGGAGAUAUAGAUCAUUGUGUGCAUAACCAGGCCAGUCAGUAUGAGAGGGAAGAUCAAGUGUACGCAAAUUUUGGAGGUGACCAAUUCCAAUGGGUAUCUGACCAAACAACCUCGUAUUAGAAAAAUUGAGACUGAGGAGCUCGGUCAGCCGCUCAAACCCAAAACUAUGAAGACUGGUCAGGCCAAAGUCAUUACCAGAGAGGCUGAGAUUUGUGAGAGAGGUGAGGUUGAAUAGUGCUAGGCUGAGACCACUGGUGCUCUGCAGGUUACGAUCACUGAGGUCCAAAGUGAUCACCCGACCGGAUGCCCUGUCACAUCCAACACCCUCCCAGUGGCAACAGUCUGUGCCCUGUUGCCAUGACGAGAGGUUGGGUUUGAGAAAGGAGUGCUUCAGCUGGAGCAGAGAUGAAGCCUGAUUAGGGAGGCACUGGACUGUGGUUCUAUUGCCGCCGUUGGCAGCAAUUUUGAUGGAGCAGUAGCAUGUGAGGAGUAGCAGGGUGAAGUGAAGCCGUGGGCUCCUGAAGCUCAUCUUUCUACUGCUUGUCUACCUUAUAGCUUCAAG
Molecule: long non-coding RNA, 6543 nt
Filed under: Triticum aestivum (bread wheat)
Lineage: Eukaryota; Viridiplantae; Streptophyta; Magnoliopsida; Poales; Poaceae
Description: long non-coding RNA (TAES_LNC028521)
Source: RNAcentral